Molecule: ribosomal RNA, 460 nt
Filed under: uncultured bacterium
Lineage: Bacteria
Description: partial 16S ribosomal RNA
Rfam family: Bacterial small subunit ribosomal RNA
Source: RNAcentral
CCUACGGGAUGCAGCAGUGAGGAAUAUUGGUCAAUGGUCGGGAGACUGAACCAGCCAAGCCGCGUGAGGGAUGAAGGUACAGAGUAUCGUAAACCUCUUUUGUCAGGGAACAAAGGCGGGGACGUGUCCCCGGAUGAGUGUACCUGAAGAAAAAGCAUCGGCUAACUCCGUGCCAGCAGCCGCGGUAAUACGGAGGAUGCGAGCGUUAUCCGGAUUUAUUGGGUUUAAAGGGUGCGCAGGCGGUCUGUUAAGUCAGCGGUCAAAGCCCGGGGCUCAACCAUAGAAUUGCCGUUGAAACUGGGAGGCUUGAGUAUGUUUGAGGCAGGCGGAAUGCGUGGUGUAGCGGUGAAAUGCUUAGAUAUCACGCAGAACCCCGAUUGCGAAGGCAGCCUGCCAAGCCAUGACUGACGCUGAUGCACGAAAGCGUGGGGAUCAAACAGGAUUAGAUACCCUAGUAGUC